CAGUGACUGUCUGUGAGACCAGAAAUAGACAGCAUUUGUAGAACCAGACACCAUAUAUUUAGCCUGGGUCUAAGUAUGGCUCUGUGUCAGACCUUUAAAACACAUGCAUGGUCUGUCACAUCUGUAACAGUAUAGCUAGUUAUUCCCACAGAUGAGAAGUGGAGCCAUUCAGACAGUACUGUCUGGGACACAGUGAAUUAGAUGAGAAGUGGAUCCCAUUCUGAAAGUACUGUCUGGGACACCAUGAAUUAGAUGAGGAAGUGGAUCCAUUCUGAAAGUACUGUCUGGGACACAGUGAAUUAGAUGAGGAAGUGGAUCCAUUCUGAAAGUACUGUCUGGGACACAGUGAAUUAGAUGAGGAAGUGGAUCCAUUCUGAAAGUACUGUCUGGGACACAGUGAAUUAGAUGAGGAAGUAGAUCCCAUUCUGAAAGUACUGUCUAGGACACAGUGAAUUAGAUUAUGAAGUGGAUCCCCCAUUCUGAAAGUACUGUCUGGGACACAGUGAAUUAGAUGAGGAAGUGGAUCCAUUCUGAAAGUACUGUCUGGGACACAGUGAAUUAGAUGAGGAAGUGGAUCCCAUUCUGAAAGUACUGUCUGGGACACAGUGAAUUAGAUGAGGAAGUGGAUCCCCCAUUACGAAAGUACUGUCUGGGACACAGUGAAUUAGAUGAGAAGUGGAUCCCAUUCUGAAAGUACUGUCUGGGACACAGUGAAUUAGAUGAGGAAGUGGAUCCCAUUCUGAAAGUACUGUCUGGGACACAGUGAAUUAGAUGAGGAAGUGGAUCCCAUUCUGAAAGUACUGUCUGGGACACAGUGAAUUAGAUGAGGAAGUGGAUCCCAUUCUGAAAGUACUGUCUGGGACACAGUGAAUUAGAUGAGGAAGUAGAUCCCAUUCUGAAAGUACUGUCUGGGAAUUAGUGAAUUAACUCGGUGGACUCAUCAUUUCAUAAUGAUUGGCAGUGCUGUUUAUAGGCAGAUGGGCAGGAAGCAUCCGUUGAUAUUAGUGGCGUAGUUACUUACCCCUCUGCAUUAAAAACCCCGCAGAGAGAUUCUAGUGCAAAACCUCAGUCCUCACUAUCUAGGCUAUAAAAAGGCAAUAAACAACAUGAGCAUUCCUAGGCUUCGUUCCUAACGGUACCCUAUUCCCUAUGUAGUGCACUGCUUUUGAGCUGAGCUGUAUGCACCCUGGUCUAAAGUAGUGCACUACUACCCUAUAGACCCUGGUCUAAAGUAGUGCACUACUACCCUAUAGACCCUGGUCUAAAGUAGUGCACUACUACCCUAUAGACCCUGGUCUAAAGUAGUGCACUACGUAGGGAAUAUGAUGCCAUUUGAGGGGCUCCUCUAGUCUGGAAUCCCAAACACUGUUUGCAUAGACUAAAAUUAGUUCCAGAGAGUUUUCAAUAGUUUUCAAUCUCCUCUCUCUCUUUUCAGGAGAUUCAAUAGUUUUCAAUCUCCUCUCUCUCUUUUCAGGAGAUUCAAUAGUUUUCAAUCUCCUCUCUGUCUUUUCAGGAGAUUCAAUAGUUUUCAAUCUCCUCUCUCUCUUUUCAGGAGAUUCAAUAGUUUUCAAUCUCCUCUCUCUUUUCAGGAGAUUCAAUAGUUUUCAAUCUCCUCUCUGUCUUUUCAGGAGAUUCAAUAGUUUUCAAUCUCCUCUCUCUCUUUUCAGGAGAUUCAAUAGUUUUCAAUCUCCUCUCUGUCUUUUCAGGAGAUUCAAUAGUUUUCAAUCUCCUCUCUCUCUUUUCAGGAGAUUCAAUAGUUUUCAAUCUCCUCUCUCUCUUUCAGGAGAUUCAAUAGUUUUCAAUCUCCUCUCUGUCUUUUCAGGAGAUUCAAUAGUUUUCAAUCUCCUCUCUCUUUUCAGGAGAUUCACUAGUUGUGGACUUUGUACUUGUGCGUCAAUGUCAAAGUAUGUUUGACUCCAUGUACUUGGCGUCUGGUAUUAAAAAAAAGGCAGUUAACUUAACACCUUAAAUUGCCCCGUUGAAGCAAGUCGAUUGAAGCAAGUUGAGUGCUAGGUGCUGCUGGGUUCAGUUUGGAACCUUUCACCUGCUGAAUGCCUUAGGGCUUAACUGAAGCAUCCGUCUUCUAGGAAGAGAUAGAGAGAGACCAUGGUGGUGUCAACGAUGGCACCCUAUUCCCUACGUAGUGCACACAAGUAGUGCACCAUCAAGGGAAUAGGGUGCCAUUUGGGAUGCAUUGGGGUAACCCGUUAACACCAAACUCUAGAGGUUACUACAGGUCAGACCGUAUCUCAUUAACACCAAACUCUAGAAGUUACUACAGGUCAGACCGUAUCUCAUUAACACCAAACUCUAGAGGUUACUACAGGUCAGACCGUAUCUCAUUAACACCAAACUCUAGAGGUUACUACAGGUCAGACCGUAUCUCAUCAACACCAAACUCUAGAAGUUACUACAGGUCAGACCGUAUCUCAUUAACACCAAACUCUAGAAGUCCCUACAGGGAAAACAGGAAGUCAUAGGAAGUAGUGGGAAGUGCAGCCAAAGGAAAACCACUGCAAAUACUACUGUACCUCAGGGAGUAGUACACCGUUUAAACUUAAUAUCACCACAAAAUCAAUAGGCCGCAUCAAAGAAACAAAACAUUAAAAACAUUCAAAUUAAUCCCACUUGUAAGGCACAAUAAAAUGGACAAAGUUUAGACUCAUUUCAAAAACAAAUACUACUAAAAAAAAGAAAACAAAUAUCUCAGAAAACAAAAGUUCCUUGAGUACGGUGUCUUGGCAUUGGUUGUCUAGUGAAGAGAAGGGGAGGGGUAUCGACCAAUACAACUUUUACUGAUCCUGAUGCCUCCCACUAAACACAAUCCUGAUGCCCCUCCCACUAAACACAGCCUGAGGCAGCCUCUCAGAAGUACCAGGAUGGAAGAGCCUGAGGCAGCCUCUCAGAAGUACCAGGAUGGAAGAGCCUGAGGCAGCCUCUCAGAAGUACCAGGAUGGAAACUCUCUCUUUACUGUUAAGGAGAGAGCCUUGUGUGGCCCAACUAGUACUCUAUUCCCUAUGUAGUGCACUACUUUACACCAGGGCCCAAGGUGCUUUGGUCAAAAGUAGAGCACUAUAAAGGGAAUAGGGUGCCAUUUGGGAUGCAUUCAGGGAGGAGAAGGCAACGAACAGAAAGAGGUUUAAAAAGUCCCUGGUAGGCGGGCGGAUCAGGCCGUUCUGGCAUCUCAGCCCCUGUUAGAUGGACAGAGGGAGAGAGGUGUUCAGUCGUUGUGUUUAUCCGAGGCUGUGAGGGGGGGGCUCAUUCAGUAGUUGUGUUUAUCCGAGGCUGUGAGGGGGGCUCAUUCAGUAGUUGUGUUUAUCCGAGGCUGUGAGGGGGGGGGGCUCGUUCAGUCAUUGUGUUUAUCCGAGGCUGAGAAGGGGCUUGUUCAGUUGUUGUGUUUAUCCGAGGCUGUGAGGGGGG
Long non-coding RNA from Oncorhynchus tshawytscha (Chinook salmon), 3421 nucleotides. The record is from Ensembl. NCBI's taxonomy places the organism in Eukaryota, Metazoa, Chordata, Actinopteri, Salmoniformes, Salmonidae.